The sequence is an unclassified non-coding RNA, 188 nucleotides long. The stretch from base 1 to 46 matches the Rfam family "Eukaryotic small subunit ribosomal RNA", at positions 1786 to 1831 of the family's 1831-position model.
AAGUCGUAACAAGGUUUCCGUAGGUGAACCUGCGGAAGGAUCAUUAUAAAAUUUUCAUAUUAUUUAUUUAAUAUAUAAAAUUAUACAAAAAUGUAUUCAAAACCCACACUCUUUAUAACCAUAAAAAAACAUUAUAUCUUGUAUAUAAUAUAAAAAAACAACUUUCAACAACGGAUCUCUUGGCUCUC